ACCUACGGGGCGCAGCAGUGAGGAAUAUUGGUCAAUGGCCGAGAGGCUGAACCAGCCAAGUCGCGUGAGGGAAGACGGCCCUACGGGUUGUAAACCUCUUUUGUCGGGGAGCAAAGAGAGUCACGUGUGACUCAUUGAGAGUACCCGAAGAAAAAGCAUCGGCUAACUCCGUGCCAGCAGCCGCGGUAAUACGGAGGAUGCGAGCGUUAUCCGGAUUUAUUGGGUUUAAAGGGUGCGUAGGCGGUCCGUUAAGUCAGCGGUAAAAUUGCGGGGCUCAACCCCGUCGAGCCGUUGAAACUGGCAGA
RNAcentral lists this ribosomal RNA (305 nucleotides) under uncultured bacterium. Its description in RNAcentral is "bacterial SSU rRNA". It matches the Rfam family "Bacterial small subunit ribosomal RNA", at positions 337 to 640 of the family's 1533-position model. The record is from RNAcentral.